CGGGCCGGGAGCCGGGCCGGGAGCCGAGAGCCAGAGCCGGAGACGGAGCUGGAGACGGAGCUGGAGACGGAGCCUGAGCCCAAGCCCGAGUCAGAGCGGGUCCCCUCGGCGAGCCCGGAACUCUCCUCACCUACCCACUUGGAACUCAUCUUUGAGCCAGACUGACUUCUUAGCAACAGUAAUAAUAAAACAGUAAGCAGUUGCCCAGGCUCAGGUAAUGUCUUGUAUGAGCUCCUAGACCUUUCUAGAAGAACCUAGUCACACCUCAGUGGUUCAUAAAACCUGGGUGUGGAGGGUAGUGUGGGGAAGAAACUAUCCCAAGCAGGGAAAGGACUGAAAAUAGAAUAUUGGGG
This 353-nucleotide long non-coding RNA is filed under the name Heterocephalus glaber (naked mole-rat). RNAcentral describes it as "lncRNA (ENSHGLG00100037758.1)". Lineage: Eukaryota; Metazoa; Chordata; Mammalia; Rodentia; Bathyergidae. The record is from RNAcentral.